RNAcentral lists this ribosomal RNA (1326 nucleotides) under Triticum aestivum (bread wheat). Its description in RNAcentral is "partial small subunit ribosomal RNA". Lineage: Eukaryota; Viridiplantae; Streptophyta; Magnoliopsida; Poales; Poaceae. The record is from RNAcentral.
GAUGCCCUCGAGGCCAACCUACGCUUCGUGGAGGUGCCGGACGGGUUAGUGCCACUGAGCUCCUGUGGCGCCGCGCCGGUGCCUCCACCGAACCAUAUGGCGCGUCUCGGGCUCUUCUUGGCCGCCGCUGAGGCUGGCGGCGUGAGGGUGGCGCUGGAGUCGGCUCGCGCCGCCGCGGGCGGCGCCAGGGUCACGUGCGUCGUCGGGGACGCGUUCCUCUGGAUGGCCGCCGAGGCGGCCGCUGCGGUGGGGGCGCCAUGGGUUCCGGUCUGGACCGGCGGUCCCAGCGCGCUCCUUGCGCACCUCCAAGGUGGCGCGCUGCGCGACGACAUCGGCGACAAAGCGGCGAGCCGGGCGGACGAGCUGCUCACCUCGCACCCGGGCCUCGGAAGCUACCGCGUCCGGGACCUCCCCGACGGCUGCGUCUUCGGCGAGAUGCACCUGCCGAUCGUCGCCCUCUUCCGUCGCGUCGCCGAGCAGCUGCGCGUUCCCCGCGCCGCCACCGCCGUGGCCUUGAACACCUUCCCGGGCCUCCUCCUCGACGACGUCACCGCCGCUCUCGCCGCGGAGCUCCCGGAGGUCCUCCCCAUCGGCCCCUUCCACCUCCUCCCAGUGCCCGGCGACGACAACGCCGCCGCGGCCGACCCGCACGGAUGCCUGGCCUGGCUCGACGGCCACCCGGCCCGCGCCGUCGCUUACGCCAGCUUCGGCACGGUCGUCACCGCCGUGGUCGGAGGGCAGGAGGAGCUGCGCGAGCUCGCGGCCGAGCUGGAGGCGUCGGGCGCGCCGUUCCUCUGGUCGCUGCCGAAGGAGUACUGGCCGCUGCUCCCGGCGGGGUUCCUGGACCUGGAGCGCGCCAAGGUGGUGCCCUGGGCGCCGCAGGCGGCCGUGCUGCGGCACGCGUCGGUGGGUGCCUUCGUGACGCACGCCGGGUGGGCGUCGGUGCUGGAGGGCGUGGCCGGCGGCGUGCCCAUGGCGUGCCGUCCCUUCUUCAGCGACCAGAGGAUGAACGCGCGGAUGGUGGCGCACGUCUGGGGGUUCGGCACGGUCUUUGAGCAGCCCAUGACGCGCGCGACCGUGGCGGAGGCCGUGUCGUCGCUGCUCGCCGGCGACCAAGGCACCCGGAUGCAGGAGAUGCCGGACAUGGCGGCCACCGCGUUCGCGGCCGACGGCGGCAGCAGAAAGAACCUGGAUAAGCUUCUCAAGAUAGUUUGUCCAUCAUCACAUGGUGAUCAUGUCGACGAAGCAGCAGAUGUGAUGAGAUGCGCACCGACGACACGUGAUCUGCUUGGUGCUAGCAGCCUUGUAAACACCGUGGCUGACUGA